CCUGGCUCAGAUUGAACGCUGGCGGCAGGCCUAACACAUGCAAGUCGAGCGGUAGAGAGGUGCUUGCAUCUCUUGAGAGCGGCGGACGGGUGAGUAAUGCCUAGGAAUCUGCCUAGUGGUGGGGGAUAACGUUCGGAAACGGACGCUAAUACCGCAUACGUCCUACGGGAGAAAGCGGGGGGAUCUUCGGACCUCGCGCCAUUAGAUGAGCCUAGGUCGGAUUAGCUAGUUGGUGAGGUAAUGGCUCACCAAGGCGACGAUCCGUAACUGGUCUGAGAGGAUGAUCAGUCACACUGGAACUGAGACACGGUCCAGACUCCUACGGGAGGCAGCAGUGGGGAAUAUUGGACAAUGGGCGAAAGCCUGAUCCAGCCAUGCCGCGUGUGUGAAGAAGGUCUUCGGAUUGUAAAGCACUUUAAGUUGGGAGGAAGGGUAGUAACCUAAUACGUUGCUACUUUGACGUUACCGACAGAAUAAGCACCGGCUAACUUCGUG
This 495-nucleotide ribosomal RNA is filed under the name uncultured bacterium. Its description in RNAcentral is "bacterial SSU rRNA". It matches the Rfam family "Bacterial small subunit ribosomal RNA", at positions 18 to 507 of the family's 1533-position model. The record is from RNAcentral.